RNAcentral lists this ribosomal RNA (389 nucleotides) under uncultured eukaryote. RNAcentral's name for it is "partial 18S ribosomal RNA". It matches the Rfam family "Eukaryotic small subunit ribosomal RNA", at positions 592 to 976 of the family's 1831-position model. The record is from RNAcentral.
CACUAGCGUAUAUUAAAGUUGUUGCAGUUAAAAAGCUCGUAGUUGGAUUUCUGACAUGGUGCGCCUGGUCCGCCCCGUAAAGGUGUGUGAGUACCGGCGUGCGCCUGUCAUCCUUCCGCAGAGCGUGUCUACCCUUCACUGGGCCGGGCAUCGCGAUGUGGAUCGUUUACUUUGAAAAAAUUAGAGUGUUCAAAGCAGGCUUACGCUGUGAAUACAUUAGCAUGGAAUAAUAAGAUAGGGCUUUGGUUCUAUUUUGUUGGUUUCUAGGACUGAAGUAAUGAUUGAUAGGGAUAGUUGGGGGUGCUAGUAUUCAACGGCCAGGGGUGAAAUUCUUGGAUUCGUUGAAGACUAACUUAUGCGAAAGCAUUCACCAAGGAUGUCUUCUUUAA